CUACGGAGGGUGCAAGCGUUAAUCGGAAUUACUGGGCGUAAAGCGUACGUAGGCGGUCCGUUAAGUUAGAUGUGAAAGCCCCGGGCUUAACCUGGGAACUGCAUUUAAAACUGGCGGACUAGAGUUGAGUAGAGGGGAGUGGAAUUUCAGGUGUAGCGGUGAAAUGCGUAGAGAUCUGAAGGAACACCAGUGGCGAAGGCGACUCCCUGGACUCGAACUGACGCUGAGGUACGAAAGCGUGGGUAGCAAACGGGAUUAGAAACCCCAGUAGUCC
RNAcentral lists this ribosomal RNA (274 nucleotides) under uncultured bacterium. Its description in RNAcentral is "partial 16S ribosomal RNA". It matches the Rfam family "Bacterial small subunit ribosomal RNA", at positions 523 to 796 of the family's 1533-position model. The record is from RNAcentral.